RNAcentral lists this long non-coding RNA (260 nucleotides) under Fukomys damarensis (Damara mole-rat). RNAcentral describes it as "lncRNA (ENSFDAG00000033346.1)". The record is from RNAcentral. Lineage: Eukaryota; Metazoa; Chordata; Mammalia; Rodentia; Bathyergidae.
CACUCAGGGAAACUGGAGGCAGAGAAACUGGAAGCGUCUGCAUUUCACAAUAAAACCCUUCAGUGUCAUUCAUUAGUUUGCUGCGCUCUCCUCUGUGCUUCUCUGCCGCACCAACAUCGAGAGGGCCGGAGGUGGACAGCAUGCUUUGCGUCACCUCACCUCGGGCCUCCUCACAGUGAGAACUGACAUAGAGGAAACUGUCACCGCUGUGCAUCAUGAACGGGGACGGCAAGAACAUCUCCGCAUGCACAGGUUGGCUG